RNAcentral lists this ribosomal RNA (447 nucleotides) under Caenocara cf. tsuchiguri MSL2007. RNAcentral's name for it is "partial 16S ribosomal RNA". The record is from RNAcentral. Lineage: Eukaryota; Metazoa; Arthropoda; Insecta; Coleoptera; Ptinidae.
CGCCUGUUUAACAAAAACAUGUUUUUAUGAAUAUAUUAUAAAAUUGGGCCUGCUCAAUGAUUAAAUUUAAAUUGCCGCAGUAUUUUAACUGUGCAAAGGUAGCAUAAUCAUUUGUUUUUUAAUUGAAAACUGGAAUGAAGGGUUUGACAAGAAAUUUUCUGUCUCGAAUAUAAUAUUGAAUUUUAUUUUUAAGUGAAAAAGCUUAAAUUUUGUUAAUAGACGAGAAGACCCUAUAGAGUUUUAUUUAAUUGGAUUUUAAGUUAAUUUAAUUAAAUUUUAUUGGGGUGAUAGAAAAAUUUAUUUAACUUUUUUUUUAUUAUAUAUUUAUUUAUAGAUUUUUGAUUAAUAUUUUAUUAUUGUAAGAUUAAAUUACCUUAGGGAUAACAGCGUAAUUUUUUAUUAUAGUUCUAAUUGAUUAAAAAGUUUGCGACCUCGAUGUUGGAUUAA